UGAACAGAAAACCUUAUAGCGAGAAGUAGGUAGAUAUAAUUGAUUGGAAAUAAAAAAACUCAUGCUCCUCCAUUAUGCAAAGGAUCAAAUUAGUUUUUUUCCCCAAGGCUAUUGCUUUUUCUGUGUUCAAUUAAAUUAAAACAAGCUGAAAAAUUUCUGCAUCAGUAAGUUAUCGAUAUCGAUUUUGCGUGAUUGGUUGCUAUGAGAAGAUAGUCAAAACGGAGAAUUUGUUAAUUUUUUGUACACAGGCGUAAUAGAAAUGCUCCUAAAUCUCGUUUCAAUAUUGGCAUGGAUAUGUUUUUUUGCGCAGGGGGUUUCUCCGAAAUUUGUGUAGCGCUGAUCCAAACCACGUUGACUUUAGAAAACUUGAAAAAACAUUUUUGAAUUUUUCAUAUUACUUGUAUGUCACACUUUUAAUUACUUGAAAAAAAAAAUCAUGAUGAAUUCUUAACAUUUGCACUUCACUGUAAAUAAUGGAAGAACCGUACUUUUUUGAUUUCCUCAACUACGCAGCAAUCGUACCUAAUUCUCUUUUUAAAUUCGUGGUAAAAAAUUUAUUCUGUAAAAUUUCGACCACCGAUUAUUAAAUUUUUAAUCCCGCCAAGCUCAAGUAACCAUUGUAAGAGGGAAAUUGCUCAUCAUUAUAAGCCCCCGUGUACAUAGCAACCCACGAUCAAAUCAAUAAAAAACAUACAGAUUAUCACCAUCAAACAAGAAUAUCACAUGCUUCCAUAUGAAUAAAACACAAAUCUAAAUUACCCAGGUACUCAAUAAAAUUUAUCCCUCACACGUUUAAUCAAACACACCUAGUUUCGAGUACUUAGGUACCUACCUACUAUUUACACAUUUGCUAUUUCUGUGACCAAAUGAUACGAAAAUAAUUCUCGGAACACGUAGAAAGUUAAGCUGACUUAUCUCGCAACUUGAACUUUAUAUUAUGGUAAUGAAUCAUCUUUACGAGUAGGUAGUUGGAGUUUUCUUUUAAAUAAUAAUAAAACUGAGCAGUAAAACCAUUAUUUUUUCAUUUCGAGUUGAUCAAGUAUAAACAACAGUUUCUGUGCAAAUUUUUCGUCUUGAAAGCUAUAACAAUGACACCGAAGAUAGUUCUCGUGUUCAUAACUUUGGCGAUCCUUUGCGUGGUGCAAGGAUAUGUUGCCCAAUUCGACGCCGAUUCUUUUCACAAGCCACCUAAGCCUUCGAAUGCUUUACUCGGAUUUGGUGGUAAUCAAGAAUGCGUCCAUGCUAAUACCACGUACGGUUCGAGAGUCGCUGGAGAUUGGAGAGCGUACUCAGAAACUUUCAAUAAAUCGGGCAGCUUUUUCCGCAAAACGGCAGUGGAAAUGAAAUAUCCUUCAAAUGGCUCCAGAUCAUACUGCCCUAUUUCAAUGAUAAAUGUCGAGAAUUUAUACCGAAAAUGUAAAUGUUACAAGGAAAAGGUAGAAAUAACCGAGGGUGGUCUUCGAUACGGUAAUGUUAGCUUAAGGUUCACCACUGAUACUAAUUGCCGGAAUAUACACAGAGUUACAAUUUAUACCAAAUGUUGAGCUUAAAUUACAUAAAAUACCGCAAAUGUAAGAUUACGAUUAGAUUAAAAUUAUUUUAAAAAGUGACGAAUAAAAAAUAAUUUUUAGAUUUCAA
Molecule: long non-coding RNA, 1638 nt
Organism: Planococcus citri (citrus mealybug)
Lineage: Eukaryota; Metazoa; Arthropoda; Insecta; Hemiptera; Pseudococcidae
Exons: 2
Source: RefSeq, a predicted model, not a curated record